CACUUGGCAAAGUGCACAGUUGGUGGAAUCUGUGUCCAAUCCGUGGGGCCCUGGGCAGGUUACUUAACCUCUCUGUGCCUUAGUUACUUACCUGUAAAGUGGAGCGAAUAAUAGUCUAACCUCAUAAGUUGUGGCAGAAAAACAAGUUAGUGUACGAAGGCCUGUAGAAGACCGCCCGGCACAUGGAGAGACGCACUGGUAAGGGCCCAUGAAAUGCUUCUACCCGGUGGACUUCAUGCCAGGCCGAUGUGAACCGAAUGCCCCCACCUCGUGAACAUGCCCCCGUGUCUGUUCUCCCGUUUAGACACAAGUUCCAGGCUCCCCGGUCCAGGAGGGGCUUCCUUCCUUUUCCUCCAGCUGCGAAAUGAAGCUGAGUACCACCUGAAAAGGCACAGCUCAGGAAGGAAGCUGCAGCCUCGUGAUCAAGGGGCCUCACGGCGCAGUAAAUCAGCUCCAUGCAGUUUCCAGCGGUGGCAGGGCCCUGGCCGCGGCCGCCGUGCAGGGCAGCAGGUCCUUUGGCUCAGGAAGGGAAACCAGGCGGGAGGCGAACAGGAAGCAUGGAGCAAACCUGAGGUUGGUCUGGGAUAAUGAAGACAUCACUCCACUGGCCUUCAGGAGGCUUGGCGUCCAGGACCAGCUCACGGUCAAUCGGCUACAUGACUCACACUCUAGGUUUUGAGUCCUGUAACAGCAAACAGAGGCACUGGGUUGGCGCACCCCGAAGAUCUCUCCUAGUUCUCAAAUCCUAUGGUUCUUCUCCCCAUUGGUCCUUUCUUCUUUGAGCCGAAAGAUUUUACUAUACAUUUCUAGAAUGAUUUGCUUGAUCUUACUCACUUAAAAGCUUUAAGGACUAAAUAUUUG
Long non-coding RNA from Molossus molossus (Pallas's mastiff bat), 861 nucleotides. RefSeq lists it as uncharacterized. The transcript is spliced from 4 exons. The record is from RefSeq and is a predicted model, not a curated record. Lineage: Eukaryota; Metazoa; Chordata; Mammalia; Chiroptera; Molossidae.